This 814-nucleotide long non-coding RNA is filed under the name Crocodylus porosus (Australian saltwater crocodile). Its description in RNAcentral is "lncRNA (ENSCPRG00005003837.1)". The record is from RNAcentral. Lineage: Eukaryota; Metazoa; Chordata; Crocodylia; Crocodylidae.
CAGACUUUUUAAUGUGAUGGCUGGAUUUGAAUGAAUGCCUGAAAUUCAUAUUGUUCAGUCUUUCAAGUAUUAGAGAGCUACCCUAGAAAAAGUCCCAGACUGCCUGUUUUUCCAGUAAGGGCGGACCAAUGACUGAUUCAUACUUCCAUUAUAUCACAAUUGUGCUUUUGUUUGGCACCAUUAUGCCUCUUGCAAGUCGCUUGCAGAUGGUCCAGAAGCCACAGAACAGGCUGUACUUCAUUUCAAUUCCAGCCAUCACCAUCUUAUGGACUCUUUCCAGUUUACAACAAGAAGUUGGACAAACAUCCUGUGGUCAUGUCUGAUUAUAUAAACUGUUUUACUAGUAAAACAGUCAUCCAAUAUCACAAAAAAUGCAGCCACUUCUGGGGUGAAAUACAAGAAGCAGACAGACAAAUGAAUCACAGCAUAACGAACAGCAACCAGGAAGAGGAGAAGUCUGGUUAUGUAGACAAAGGCCAUGGAUUUGUCUCACAAGCUCUCAAUGAUCAGAAAUCUCAGUUCAUACGGAAGGGUUGUCAAUCUGAGGUCCAUGGAAGUACUACAGCUGGGGGCUGGAUCAUGCCCACUUUUUUCAAUGGGAGAAGAGAUGCAUACAAGAAAAGUAGUACAAGACCAGCCUGUCAAAACUGCAGAUACAAUUUACCAGUUCCUUAUCUUCUUGAGAAAAGAGAGGCUCAUUUUGUUGAGCAAGAGUAAAUUAAAGUAACACAGGAGGCUUACCACAUGGAAAGACAUAGGGCAGGGCUGGCUUUAUAAGAAUAAAUGUAUGACCCUUACAUUGAAAAUUAGAAGA